UACGUAGGGUGCGAGCGUUAAUCGGAAUUACUGGGCGUAAAGCGUGCGCAGGCGGUUCGUUAAGUCAGCUGUGAAAGCCCCGGGCUCAACCUGGGAAUUGCGGUUGAAACUGGCGGACUAGAAUCUGGCAGAGGGGGGUGGAAUUCCACGUGUAGCAGUGAAAUGCGUAGAGAUGUGGAGGAACACCGAUGGCGAAGGCAGCCCCCUGGGUCAAGAUUGACGCUCAUGCACGAAAGCGUGGGGAGCAAACAGG
This 253-nucleotide ribosomal RNA is filed under the name uncultured bacterium. Its description in RNAcentral is "partial 16S ribosomal RNA". It matches the Rfam family "Bacterial small subunit ribosomal RNA", at positions 524 to 776 of the family's 1533-position model. The record is from RNAcentral.